Molecule: long non-coding RNA, 1344 nt
Filed under: Citrus maxima (pomelo)
Lineage: Eukaryota; Viridiplantae; Streptophyta; Magnoliopsida; Sapindales; Rutaceae
Description: long non-coding RNA (CMAX_LNC004171)
Source: RNAcentral
UGAAUUUCUUAGUUGAUAUAUGGGGACUAUGGACUCUGCCAUCAAAUUGAAGAGUAAAGUAGCACAUGCUGCAGCUGCUGGAGAAUUUAAUAACAAUGUUCCUUAUCUGAGUGCACAAUGUGGCUGAAAUUAAGGUAACUAACAUAUUAUUUUCUGUUUGGAUUCUAAUUACUGAAUUUAUUUGAGUGUACAUUCAAAACCAUGCAUGCUGAGUGUUGGAUUAUCAGGAAAAUACUACUACUAUGCUUAAAUUAUAUUUUCUUUUUCUUUUUUUUUGGGUUAAUUUAUAUGCAUAUAUAAUUUGACAGCUGAUGAGUUUUCAGUUGAGCUAGCUGAAGGGCUUGCUUUUAAUUUGUUGCUGUUCAUGAUGAUGAAUCCAAGCUCUUUAUGGUCGUUUUACUCUCUUUCACAGUUUGUGAACAAUUUAUAGUUGGCGAUGGUUGAUUCCUCAAGUAGCAAUUAUUUCAUGCUCAUUGUGUGGCAUUCUUCAUUGUAUUAUAGUUUCUGGAGAAAGAAGUGACGAGGUUGAAAAGAAUAGUGAAGCUUGUACUUGGAAACUCAAGUGCACAAGAAUCAUCUCUUAUGUUACAGAUUGUUAAUUUUCAUUUACUUUCAAGCCUUUUUUUUAAUUUUGUUUUUCACUUUCUAAUUAUAGAAACUAACCAUAACAGGGUUUUGUAACUGAUAGACCAGAUUAUCACAAGCACAUAAAUCUUCUAAUGGCAGUGUUGCAUUUUUCGGCCUCUCUAAACUUGUAUAAGGACUAAUGUCUAAAUUUAGAAUCCAACUCCUGCUGUUGACUUCAAAAUUAGCAUAUUUGCUUAUUGAGACAAAAUUUUGGUCUAAUGAUUAUUAUCCAUUCCAGUCUCAUAUUUUGUCAGGCUUCUUAAGCAUAUCUUGGAUAUAAUACUUAUGCUCAGCUCUAUACAAAGUGAUUGUCGAAUAUAACCUACUAUUAUACUAGUUACUGAUUUGAUAAUUUACUGAUUAAUAUUUCUUCGUUGAUCUAGGAUAUUAUUUGGUCUACUAAUGAUGAUGUGGGGAUGGAGCAGAUUCAUAUUUCUUGAUUCAUAUAGGAUAUUAUUUGGUCGAAUGAAGAUGAUGAUGGGAAUGGAGAAGAUAAGGUGGAGGCAAACGUACGUCUCAGAGACUAAAGAACACGUGUUGGAGGAUGCUUGAAAUAAUUCAAGCUAUGAAAUCAUAUUGCGUAUACAUUUGAGAAUUUUUUUUAAUAUACUAUUAAAAUUGAUUAUGUUGUACUUUUGAUUGGUGAAUGUGAUAUCUAUAAAUUUUUUAAAUUAAUAAAGCUACAUUUAAUGUAUUUUGCGUGUUGCUAUUGCCAUU